AGUGAACGCUGGCGGUAGGCCUAACACAUGCAAGUCGAACGGCAGCACAGUAAUAGCUUGCUCUUACGGGUGGCGAGUGGCGGACGGGGGGGGAAUACCUCGUGAUUUACUUUUUCGCGGGUGAUAACGUAGGGAGACUUACUGUAAUACCUCAUACGACCUACGGGUGAAAGCAGGGGAUCGUCGGACCUUGCGCUAUUGAAUGAGGCGAUGUGGGAUGAGCCAGUCGGCGGGGUAGAGGGGCACCAAGGCGACGAUCCGUAGCUGGACUGAGAGGAUGAUCGGCCACACUCGAACUGAGACAGGGUCCCGACCCCUACGGGAGGCAGCAGUGGGGGAUGUUGGACAAUGGGCGCAAGCCUGAUCCAGACAUACCGAGUGGGUGAAGAAGGCCUUCGGGUUGUAAAGCCCUUCUGUUGGGGAAGAAAAGCAGCAGGUUAAUUCCCCGCUGUUCUGACGGUACCCAAAGAAUAAGCACCGGCUAACUUCGUG
This 492-nucleotide ribosomal RNA is filed under the name uncultured bacterium. RNAcentral describes it as "partial 16S ribosomal RNA". It matches the Rfam family "Bacterial small subunit ribosomal RNA", at positions 29 to 507 of the family's 1533-position model. The record is from RNAcentral.